Molecule: ribosomal RNA, 265 nt
Filed under: uncultured anaerobic ammonium-oxidizing bacterium
Lineage: Bacteria
Description: partial 16S ribosomal RNA
Rfam family: Bacterial small subunit ribosomal RNA
Source: RNAcentral
GAGCACGUAGGUGGGUUUGUAAGUCAGAUGUGAAAGCCUUCUGUUCAACGGAAGAAUUGCAUCUGAAACUACAAACCUUGAGUAUAGGAGGGGAGAAUGGAACUUCUGGUGGAGCGGUGAAAUGCGUAGAUAUCAGAAGGAACGCCGGCGGGGAAAGCGAUUCUCUGGCCUAUUACUGACACUCAGUGUGCGAAAGCUAGGGGAGCAAACGGGAUUAGAUACCCCGGUAGUCCUAGCCGUAAACGAUGGGCACUAAGUAGAGGGG